GCAGACACAUUCCAGCCAAUCAGCAGCAGGCCCUCCCUCCCAGACCCUCCCACCUCCUGGACAGCAUCCAUUGUGAAGCUGCAUUCUUAGUGAGCUGUCCAGGAGGUGGGAGGGUCUGGGAGGGAGGGUCUGCUGCUGAUUGGCUGGAAUAUGUCCG
Pelobates cultripes (western spadefoot toad) is the source of this 157-nucleotide non-coding RNA. The record is from the annotation of a GenBank genome assembly. Lineage: Eukaryota; Metazoa; Chordata; Amphibia; Anura; Pelobatidae.